RNAcentral lists this ribosomal RNA (845 nucleotides) under uncultured bacterium. RNAcentral's name for it is "bacterial SSU rRNA". It matches the Rfam family "Bacterial small subunit ribosomal RNA", at positions 534 to 1379 of the family's 1533-position model. The record is from RNAcentral.
GCGAGCGUUAAUCGGAAUUACUGGGCGUAAAGCGUGCGCAGGUGGUUUUGUAAGUCAGAUGUGAAAUCCCCGGGCUUAACCUGGGAACUGCGUUUGAAACUGCAAGGCUAGAGUGUGGCAGAGGGGGGUGGAAUUCCGCGUGUAGCAGUGAAAUGCGUAGAUAUGUGGAGGAACACCGAUGGCGAAGGCAGCCCCCUGGGUCAGCACUGACGCUCAGGCACGAAAGCAUGGGGAGCAAACAGGAUUAGAUACCCUGGUAGUCCAUGCCCUAAACGAUGUCAACUAGUUGUCGGGUCUUAACGGGCUUGGUAACGUAGCUAACGCGUGAAGUUGACCGCCUGGGGAGUACGAUCGCAAGAUUAAAACUCAAAGGAAUUGACGGGGACCCGCACAAGCGGUGGAUUAUGUGGAUUAAUUCGAUGCAACGCGAAAAACCUUACCUACCCUUGACAUGUAUCGAGGCCCGCAGAGAUGUGGGUGUGCCCGAAAGGGAACGAUAACACAGGUGCUGCAUGGCUGUCGUCAGCUCGUGUCGUGAGAUGUUGGGUUAAGUCCCGCAACGAGCGCAACCCUUAUCAUUAAUUGCCAUCAUUUAGUUGGGCACUUUAAUGAGACUGCCGGUGACAAACCGGAGGAAGGUGGGGAUGACGUCAAGUCCUCAUGGCCCUUAUGGGUAGGGCUUCACACGUAAUACAAUGGCGCGUACAGAGGGUUGCCAACCCGCGAGGGGGAGCCAAUCUCAGAAAGCGUGUCGUAGUCCGGAUCGGAGUCUGCAACUCGACUCCGUGAAGUCGGAAUCGCUAGUAAUCGCGGAUCAGCAUGUCGCGGUGAAUACGUUCCCGGGU